UCCCUCUCCAGUCAUGCUGCCGUAGCAAUAAAAUGCAUGCACGCAGUCAUGCGCACGUGGGGGAGGGGUUGGUGAUGUUGGUGGCACAUUGUUUGUGGCUGGGGGGCCUGGGGGAUGGUGUGGGGGACCCCUGAGGCUGACACUAGAUAAGUGAGUUAGACUCCUCCAUACAAUCUAUGGCUGACAGAUUUCGGGAGCGUGGCUACACUCCUGAGGUGAUUGAUCAAGCAUUUACAAAGGUAAAAACAAAUGUAGAAAGGACAGACUCCACUAACUUGGCAUCAUUUGCAGACAGAUGCUAUUUUAGGCACUUCGUGUCAGGAGGGGCCCAUGUUGCAUACAAAAGAGGAAAAAAUUUGAAAGACCAUUUGGUGAAGGCAAAUAACAAAUUACAUUACACAUCUCCUCAUUUCUUGAGCAAUCCACAACCGGGCAAUUACAGGUGUUUUAAUUGUUCAGUCAGUGCCGGUUUUAGGCCGAUUGGACCAAUUGGGCCCAAUCGGGCCCCGCGCCUGUGGGGGCCCCGCAGUUCCGCACCAUGGCAACUAGGCAAGAGGAACUAGGAAAUGCUUUUACUUCCUCGUCCCCAACAAUGAUCACUUGUGCGCUUGACAGAUCAGCUGUACAGAUGUCCCAAAAUGCUUUCCGUACAGCUGGCUCCGUUCUGGUUACUUCACAUGCUGUGUGAAGCCCCUCCUACCUGUGAAUGUGAUCUUCCUGUCUCCAGACUUGGCUGCGUCAGGCAAGAGUAAGUGGUAAGAAUAGUAGAGGAACGGAAGAGCUGCAGCGAUCGAAUUACUAACUCGCUUACAGUGAUUUAAACUUCCCGCCCCCACACAUUGAGUCCUUAUCUGAAGGGACGGGGAAGAAUUUUUAUCACUCUACGCUCUGGAAACACAUGUUGGCUAGUUACUUUGCUAAAAUCCCUCUUCCCCCACCCAAACUGUCAGUGCAGGAAGAACUGAUGCUGACUAGAUGAGAGGUUUUUUAUGGAUUCUCUUGCUCAGCCUCUACAUAUGCCUUGAUCUCCUGCUUUCGAUGGACUGCUUCAAGAAUAACAUUUGACAGUAUUCAUUACAUUCUGUAUAAUCCUGCUUGAUCCUGCUUGAUCCAACUGGAUUUUCAAGAGACGUUUGGCUAUUUCCUUAAGUUAAGAUAACGUCAGGAGAAUGAUCCGCAUCUUCAAAUGUUAGAUGUGGGACUUACGCUAUAUUGGAACGCAUUUGCGUUCCACCAGGAUACUAGGUGACGCUGCUUCACCCCCCACGAGUAGAGGGGCGGAAGUGACGUCAGACGCCGGAUUCCUAUCGUAUGGACUCAGCAUGGACUAUAAAAUGAUACAGACAGUCAUGCUGCUGUGGAUGCUGCUGUGGAUGCUGCCACUGCUCCAGCUGCAGCAAUUGGGGGACCACCACAGCAGAAAGAAUGGCUACUGGGUGAGAGAACUGCGGGCCAACAGGGCAGGUAGAUGCAAUUAUGGCUGCUAUGGAGCCAACUUUGUGACCACUUACCAUCCAUUCGAGCAUCCAGGACCUCGUGGCAGUUGUCCAAGCCCAGCCUUACCGACCAGAGGACUCUGCUGAGGGUCAAGUCCCUGGUCCUUCUGCUGCUCCCGCUCCCCCUCCAUCCCCACCCCUGAAGCUCCUCAACAGCAGAGAGGAAGGGGGUGUGGAAGGGGAGAAGGUCCUGUCCCACGGGACAAGCACAAACAUCUCUAGCUCCAGUCUGUGUCACUUUCCAACUAACACUAGCCUCUUUGUCCAUUUUAUCCCAACUUUGCCCUAUUUACGCUUCAGUUGUGAUUUUGUCCGUUACCCAGCAAUGACUCCCAAACUUCACAUCCCAUUGUUUACACCAUGCUGCAGUCUCGUCACUGAGAGGUGCCAUUUUAACAUCUAUUGGCACCCUUUCCAAAAACAUCUGGAAAAGCAUUUAAAAACAUCUAAAUGCAUUUGCUCUAACAUAUGAAUAUACUCAUGGUGUUAUCAGCACCAAGGUGUGCCAUAUCUAACAUCCAUUGACGCCCUUUGCAAAAACAUCUGGAAAAAGCACUUACAAACAUCUAAAAGUGCAUUUGCUCUAACAUAUUUCCAUGGUGAUGCUGCAGUGUUGCCCAAAGCAUUCUUGGCCAAAAAAUGUUACAUGUAAGGGUCGAUUGAUUCUAAUCAUUGCAAGCAUAUGACUACACUUUUUAUUGUGUAUUUAUCACUAGUGCAGUGUUGCUUCAAAGGUAACAUAUGCUCAAUAUCAAACGCUGUAUGGAUGUGUUUUACAUGUUAUGUGCAUUCAUGUAACGAUAGCCUACUGUAUGUUCAUGCAACUGUCAACAAUUUAAAGUAAAAUAAGUGUACCUUGUGCUUUGCACUAUGAACUAUUGUUGGCUACCUAUGACCUACUUUGGCUACCCAGCACUCAUAAUAUGUGCUAAUGCCUGCUACUACUACCUCCUCCUCCUCCAGCCUGUGCUACUUAAAUAGCAAGUCACAGGUGUAUGGUAGCGUUGGUUAUUACUUUGCACUUACAAGUAUUGAUGGCUACCUAUGGCCUACCAAACACUCAUAGUAUGCGAUAAUGCCUGCUACCACUACUUCCUCUUCCAGCCUGUGCUACUUAAAUAGCAAAUCACAGGUGUAUGGUACUUACAAGUAUUGAUGGCUGUCCAUCACAUUCCCUUGCCAGCACUAAUCUCAUAUUGUUGAUAUUUUCAAACAGGCCAGAUUGUCAUUUAUUGACAAGUGUCAUUUGUAUAUCAUAUUGAUUGUUAUUAUAUUCUUGUUUUGUACACAAGGCUUCUCGAUGCCAAACUUUUUUUGUCCUCUUUAAAGGGAAUCUGUCGUCAUUUUAAACUUUUUUUUGCAUUUUUAUAAAAAACACACAUCCAU
Molecule: long non-coding RNA, 2882 nt
Organism: Xenopus laevis (African clawed frog)
Lineage: Eukaryota; Metazoa; Chordata; Amphibia; Anura; Pipidae
Exons: 4
Source: RefSeq, a predicted model, not a curated record